GAACGCUGGCGGCGUGCUUAACAUCAUGCAAGUCGAACGGAAAGGCCUUUUCGGAGGUACUCGAGUGGCGAACGGGUGAGUAACACGUGGGUGAUCUGCCCUGCACUCUGGGAUAAGCCUGGGAAACUGGGUCUAAUACCGGAUAGGACCGCACUUUAGUGUGUGUGGUGGAAAGUUUUUUCGGUGUAGGAUGAGCCCGCGGCCUAUCAGCUUGUUGGUGGGGUAAUGGCCUACCAAGGCGGCGACGGGUAGCCGGACUGAGAGGUUGGUCGGCCACAUUGGGACUGAGAUACGGCCCAGACUCCUACGGGAGGCAGCAGUGGGGAAUAUUGCACAAUGGGCGCAAGCCUGAUGCAGCGACGCCGCGUGGGGGAUGACGGCCUUCGGGUUGUAAACUCCUUUCGCCAGGGACGAAGCGUUUUGUGACGGUACCUGGAGAAGAAGCACCGGCUAACUACGUGCCAGCAGCCGCGGUAAUACGUAGGGUGCAAGCGUUGUCCGGAAUUACUGGGCGUAAAGAGCUCGUAGGUGGUUUGUCACGUCGUCUGUGAAAUUCCACAGCUUAACUGUGGGCGUGCAGGCGAUACGGGCUGACUUGAGUACUGUAGGGGUAACUGGAAUUCCUGGUGUAGCGGUGAAAUGCGCAGAUAUCAGGAGGAACACCGAUGGCGAAGGCAGGUUACUGGGCAGUUACUGACGCUGAGGAGCGAAAGCAUGGGUAGCAAACAGGAUUAGAUACCCUGGUAGUCCAUGCCAUAAACGGUGGGCGCUAGGUGUAGGGGCCUUUUGGGGUUUCUGUGCCGUAGCUAACGCAUUAAGGCGCCCCGCCUGGGGAGUACGGCCGCAAGGCUA
RNAcentral lists this ribosomal RNA (852 nucleotides) under uncultured bacterium. RNAcentral describes it as "bacterial SSU rRNA". It matches the Rfam family "Bacterial small subunit ribosomal RNA", at positions 31 to 896 of the family's 1533-position model. The record is from RNAcentral.